CAGCCGCCGCGGUAAUACGAACCGUGCGAACGUUAUUCGGAAUCACUGGGCUUAAAGCGCGUGUAGGCGGGCCGGCACGUCGGUCGUUGAAAUCCCCCGGCUCAACCGGGGAAGUGGCGCCGAUACGACCGGCCUGGAGGAACGUAGGGGGAGCUGGAACUUCCGGUGGAGCGGUGAAAUGCGUUGAGAUCGGAAGGAACGCCCGUGGCGAAAGCGAGCUCCUGGACGUUUUCUGACGCUGAGACGCGAAAGCCAGGGGAGCGAACGGGAUUAGAUACCCCGGUAGUCCCUGUCUCUUAUA
This 301-nucleotide ribosomal RNA is filed under the name uncultured bacterium. RNAcentral's name for it is "partial 16S ribosomal RNA". It matches the Rfam family "Bacterial small subunit ribosomal RNA", at positions 509 to 807 of the family's 1533-position model. The record is from RNAcentral.